AGACGUGGCUGAGCGACAGACGAGGAGCUUGCUCCUUUGACGUUAGCGGCGGACGGGUGAGUAACACGUGGGUAACCUACCUAUAAGACUGGGAUAACUUCGGGAAACCGGAGCUAAUACCGGAUAAUAUUUCGAACCGCAUGGUUCGAUAGUGAAAGAUGGCUCUGCUAUCACUUAUAGAUGGACCUGCGCCGUAUUAGCUAGUUGGUAAGGUAACGGCUUACCAAGGCAACGAUACGUAGCCGACCUGAGAGGGUGAUCGGCCACACUGGAACUGAGACACGGUCCAGACUCCUACGGGAGGCAGCAGUAGGGAAUCUUCCGCAAUGGGCGAAAGCCUGACGGAGCAACGCCGCGUGAGUGAUGAAGGUCUUCGGAUCGUAAAACUCUGUUAUUAGGGAAGAACAAACGUGUAAGUAACUGUGCACGUCUUGACGGUACCUAAUCAGAAAGCCACGGCUAACUACGUGCCAGCAGCCGCGGUAAUACGUAGGUGGCAAGCGUUAUCCGGAAUUAUUGGGCGUAAAGCGCGCGUAGGCGGUUUUUUAAGUCUGAUGUGAAAGCCCACGGCUCAACCGUGGAGGGUCAUUGGAAACUGGAAAACUUGAGUGCAGAAGAGGAAAGUGGAAUUCCAUGUGUAGCGGUGAAAUGCGCAGAGAUAUGGAGGAACACCAGUGGCGAAGGCGACUUUCUGGUCUGUAACUGACGCUGAUGUGCGAAAGCGUGGGGAUCAAACAGGAUUAGAUACCCUGGUAGUCCACGCCGUAAACGAUGAGUGCUAAGUGUUAGGGGGUUUCCGCCCCUUAGUGCUGCAGCUAACGCAUUAAGCACUCCGCCUGGGGAGUACGACCGCAAGGGUUGAAACUCAAAGGAAUUGACCGGGGACCCGCACAAGUC
RNAcentral lists this ribosomal RNA (897 nucleotides) under Staphylococcus sp. FAS20. RNAcentral's name for it is "bacterial SSU rRNA". It matches the Rfam family "Bacterial small subunit ribosomal RNA", at positions 51 to 931 of the family's 1533-position model. Lineage: Bacteria; Bacillati; Bacillota; Bacilli; Caryophanales; Staphylococcaceae. The record is from RNAcentral.